Molecule: long non-coding RNA, 253 nt
Organism: Stomoxys calcitrans (stable fly)
Lineage: Eukaryota; Metazoa; Arthropoda; Insecta; Diptera; Muscidae
Exons: 3
Source: RefSeq, a predicted model, not a curated record
AGCUCUCAUUUUGGAAUUUAAGUUCAAGAAUCUCUGGUUGUCUCUUAAAGGUGUUGAAAUCUUCAAGACACUUUUCCAUCCUCAUAUCCAUGCACGAACUCACAUGUUGCAGCAUGGAAAUUCAGCAAUAUUAUGGAACCAUAUUGUAAGCUAGGCACAGUGGAAGAUUUUUGAUGAAGGGUAUAUGCUAAAUAUUUGCUCUUCACAUCAGCCAACACAAAAUGAGCUAUUCAGUAUUCCAUCACUGGCAAUG